GAAUUUUGGACAAUGGGGGCAACCCUGAUCCAGCCAUCCCGCGUGGGCGAUGAAGGCCUUCGGGUUGUAAAGCACCUUUGGCAGGGAAGAAAAGGCUCUGGCUAAUACCUGGAGCUGCUGACGGUACCGGCAGCAUAAGCACCGCCUAACUACGUGCACGCAGCCGCGAUAAUACGUAGGGGGCAAGCGUUAAUCGGAAUUACUGGGCGUAAAGCGUGCGCAGGCGGUUUGGCAAGAAGGAUGUGAAAUCCCAGGGCUUAACCUUGGAACUGCAUUCUUAACUGCCAGGCUAGAGUAUGUCAGAGGGGGGUAGAAUUCCACGUGUAGCAGUGAAAUGCGUAGAGAUGUGGAGGAAUACCGAUGGCGAAGGCAGCCCCCUGGGAUAAUACUGACGCUCAUGCACGAAAGCGUGGGGAGCAAACA
RNAcentral lists this ribosomal RNA (423 nucleotides) under uncultured bacterium. Its description in RNAcentral is "partial 16S ribosomal RNA". It matches the Rfam family "Bacterial small subunit ribosomal RNA", at positions 359 to 774 of the family's 1533-position model. The record is from RNAcentral.